AUGCGAGGUGGAGAAAUAGAGAAAUCUGGCACCCUGGAUUCUCCCCCGAAUUCAUCUCUCACUCCUCGGAAUUCGCACAUCUCUUCUUUCAUGUCCAAUAGUGUAAUGGGAAUGAUAGUUCAAGAUCUUUACGGGGAUGGACGAGAUAGAAGAAUGUUGCUCCAGGAUGGAUCCAUGACCACUUCAUAUCCUUCCAACCUCAUGUAUUCUGUGGAAUAUGUACCAAUAAAAAUGCUUCUUCGCCGAGGCGAUGCUAUGAGUAAUGAGUUGCAUGUACGUGUUCCUUUUUCUGAUUUGUAA
RNAcentral lists this ribosomal RNA (300 nucleotides) under Triticum aestivum (bread wheat). Its description in RNAcentral is "partial small subunit ribosomal RNA". The record is from RNAcentral. Lineage: Eukaryota; Viridiplantae; Streptophyta; Magnoliopsida; Poales; Poaceae.